Molecule: long non-coding RNA, 233 nt
Filed under: Lupinus angustifolius (narrow-leaved blue lupine)
Lineage: Eukaryota; Viridiplantae; Streptophyta; Magnoliopsida; Fabales; Fabaceae
Description: long non-coding RNA (LANG_LNC001780)
Source: RNAcentral
UGAUUUUUCUUUACUUUUUCAUAGAAUUGUUAUCUCUGGUACUCUCGACAUUAGUCUAUACAACAUGUUGAUGGCUAUUUUUAAAUAGUGAAAGCAUGGGUACAAAAACAAUCAAGCAUUUAAAAUGGCUUCUACAUAUUAAACUAUGCCAUGACCAUGAGACAAACAUAAUAGCAAAGGGUGGCACGCCUCAAGCAUGCACAAUCUUGAUGAAUCAUUGGGACAAGGAGGCA